RNAcentral lists this long non-coding RNA (279 nucleotides) under Brassica rapa (field mustard). RNAcentral describes it as "long non-coding RNA (BRAP_LNC004901)". Lineage: Eukaryota; Viridiplantae; Streptophyta; Magnoliopsida; Brassicales; Brassicaceae. The record is from RNAcentral.
GUGCAUUCUCCACUACCACCAGUCCAUUCUCCACCACCACCGGUCCAUUCUCCACCACCACCACCGGUGCAUUCACCACCACCACCGGUUCAUUCUCCACCACCACCGGUUCAUUCACCACCACCACCACCACCACCACCAGUGCCUUCUCCACCACCACCGGAGCCUUCUCCGCCACCACCGGUGCAUUCUCCGCCACCACCGGUCCAUUCACCACCACCACCGGAGCCUUCUCCGCCACCACCGGUACAUUCUCCUCCACCACCGGUCCAUUCACCA